Molecule: ribosomal RNA, 1056 nt
Filed under: Escherichia coli
Lineage: Bacteria; Pseudomonadati; Pseudomonadota; Gammaproteobacteria; Enterobacterales; Enterobacteriaceae
Description: partial 23S ribosomal RNA
Rfam family: Bacterial large subunit ribosomal RNA
Source: RNAcentral
CGUUAUAACCGGCGAUUUCCGAAUGGGGAAACCCAGUGUGUUUCGACACACUAUCAUUAACUGAAUCCAUAGGUUAAUGAGGCGAACCGGGGGAACUGAAACAUCUAAGUACCCCGAGGAAAAGAAAUCAACCGAGAUUCCCCCAGUAGCGGCGAGCGAACGGGGAGCAGCCCAGAGCCUGAAUCAGUAUGUGUGUUAGUGGAAGCGUCUGGAAAGGCGCGCGAUACAGGGUGACAGCCCCGUACACAAAAAUGCACAUGCUGUGAGCUCGAUGAGUAGGGCGGGACACGUGGUAUCCUGUCUGAAUAUGGGGGGACCAUCCUCCAAGGCUAAAUACUCCUGACUGACCGAUAGUGAACCAGUACCGUGAGGGAAAGGCGAAAAGAACCCCGGCGAGGGGAGUGAAAAAGAACCUGAAACCGUGUACGUACAAGCAGUGGGAGCACGCUUAGGCGUGUGACUGCGUACCUUUUGUAUAAUGGGUCAGCGACUUAUAUUCUGUAGCAAGGUUAACCGAAUAGGGGAGCCGAAGGGAAACCGAGUCUUAACUGGGCGUUAAGUUGCAGGGUAUAGACCCGAAACCCGGUGAUCUAGCCAUGGGCAGGUUGAAGGUUGGGUAACACUAACUGGAGGACCGAACCGACUAAUGUUGAAAAAUUAGCGGAUGACUUGUGGCUGGGGGUGAAAGGCCAAUCAAACCGGGAGAUAGCUGGUUCUCCCCGAAAGCUAUUUAGGUAGCGCCUCGUGAAUUCAUCUCCGGGGGUAGAGCACUGUUUCGGCAAGGGGGUCAUCCCGACUUACCAACCCGAUGCAAACUGCGAAUACCGGAGAAUGUUAUCACGGGAGACACACGGCGGGUGCUAACGUCCGUCGUGAAGAGGGAAACAACCCAGACCGCCAGCUAAGGUCCCAAAGUCAUGGUUAAGUGGGAAACGAUGUGGGAAGGCCCAGACAGCCAGGAUGUUGGCUUAGAAGCAGCCAUCAUUUAAAGAAAGCGUAAUAGCUCACUGGUCGAGUCGGCCUGCGCGGAAGAUGUAACGGGGCUAAACCAUGCAC